GGCUCAGAAUCAACGCUGGCGGCGCGCCUAACACAUGCAAGUCGAACGAGAAAGCCGGAGCAAUCUGGUGAGUACAGUGGCGUACGGGUGAGUAACACGUGGAUGAUCUACCUUUUAGUUCGGAAUAACCAAGGGAAACCGUGGCUAAUACCGGAUAAGCUCGAGAGAGGAAAGUCGCAAGACGCUGAAAGAGGAGUCCGCGGCCGAUUAGCUAGUUGGCAGGGUAAAAGCCUACCAAGGCAGAGAUCGGUAGCCGGCCUGAGAGGGCACACGGCCACACUGGCACUGAAACACGGGCCAGACUCCUACGGGAGGCAGCAGUGGGGAAUCUUGCACAAUGGGGGAAACCCUGAUGCAGCGACGCCGCGUGAGCGAUGAAGCCCUUCGGGGUGUAAAGCUCUUUCGUCAGGGACGAUUAUGACGGUACCUGGAGAAGCAGCUGCGGCUAACUACGUGCCAGCAGCCGCGGUAAUACGUAGGCAGCGAGCGUUGUUCGGAGUUACUGGGCGUAAAGGGUGUGUAGGCGGUUGUUUAAGUUUGGUGUGAAAUCUCCCGGCUCAACUGGGAGGGUGCGCCGAAUACUGAAUGACUUGGAGUGCGGGAGAGGAAAGUGGAAUUCCUGGUGUAGCGGUGAAAUGCGUAGAUAUCAGGAGGAACACCGGUGGUGUAGACGGCUUUCUGGACCGUAACUGACGCUGAGACACGAAAGCGUGGGUAGCAAACAGGAUUAGAUACCCUGGUAGUCCACGCCCUAAACGAUGCAUAUUUGGUGUGGGCAGUUCAUUCUGUCCGUGCCGGAGCUAACGCGUUAAAUAUGCCGCCUGGGGAGUACAGUCGCAAGGCUGAAACU
Molecule: ribosomal RNA, 850 nt
Filed under: uncultured bacterium
Lineage: Bacteria
Description: bacterial SSU rRNA
Rfam family: Bacterial small subunit ribosomal RNA
Source: RNAcentral